This is a long non-coding RNA of Manis javanica (Malayan pangolin), 579 nucleotides long. RefSeq lists it as uncharacterized. NCBI's taxonomy places the organism in Eukaryota, Metazoa, Chordata, Mammalia, Pholidota, Manidae. The record is from RefSeq and is a predicted model, not a curated record.
GGCUGGCGGCCAGAGUUCCCACUGGGGAUGGUGCAGGGAGCGCCAGAGCUCCGGGCUGCGGGCGCUACGCUGCUAGGUCCUCGCCGUGUCAACACCCACGCGGGCCAGUCCGCCGGAAGUGUGCGGGACGGGCGAGCACGGAAAGGGUCUAAAUGACGGUCAGGGGUGGUGAUCCGUGGAGGGUGCCAACUAACAGGUGAAGAGGACAGACCACGAUAGGUGCAAAGCCCUUCACCUUGCAGAAGAGAAGACUUGAGAUCCAGAAUAUCAUGGAUGUGACUUUGCUCCCAAAUAAUUUUGGAGUGUUUGGGUCUUGAGGCACAGAUUCCUUGUCAUCUGUCAACAUCCACCCUCCUUUUCUUCCUUAGUAAUAGAGCCCCCAAAUUUUAGCUGGGCCUACUGCUGCCCAGGACAAAGAAGAACAAUUUCCAGCCUCCCUUUCCAUCAGCUGUGGGCCUAUGUUUAACUUAUCAAUGGUCUGUAAACUGUAUGUUGCAAUUAUUUGCUGAAAUGUCUAAAAUACAGUCUUAAUGUUUACAACUUGUAUAUUUGAAUAAUAAUGAAGCAUUUUCACAUUGA